RNAcentral lists this ribosomal RNA (258 nucleotides) under uncultured Pseudomonas sp. Its description in RNAcentral is "partial 16S ribosomal RNA". It matches the Rfam family "Bacterial small subunit ribosomal RNA", at positions 96 to 355 of the family's 1533-position model. Lineage: Bacteria; Pseudomonadati; Pseudomonadota; Gammaproteobacteria; Pseudomonadales; Pseudomonadaceae. The record is from RNAcentral.
CGGCGGACGGGUGAGUAAUGCCUAGGAAUCUGCCUGGUAGUGGGGGACAACGUUUCGAAAGGAACGCUAAUACCGCAUACGACCUACGGGUGAAAGCAGGGGAUCUUCGGACCUUGCGCGAUUGAAUGAGCCGAUGUCGGAUUAGCUAGUUGGCGGGGUAAAGGCCCACCAAGGCGACGAUCCGUAACUGGUCUGAGAGGAUGAUCAGUCACACUGGAACUGAGACACGGUCCAGACUCCUACGGGGAGGCAGCAGCC